GUGGGGAAUAUUGCGCAAUGGAGGCAACUCUGACGCAGCCAUGCCGCGUGCAGGAAGAAGGCGCUACGCGUUGUAAACUGCUUUUAACCGGGAAGAAACCCCAGGACGUGUCCUGGGUUGACGGUACCGGAGGAAUAAGCACCGGCUAACUUCGUGCCAGCAGCCGCGGUAAUACGAAGGGUGCAAGCGUUAUCCGGAUUCAUUGGGUUUACAGGGUGCGUAGGCGGAGCGUUAAGUCAGUGGUGAAAUCCUGCAGCUUAACUGUAGACUUGCCAUUGAUACUGGCGCUCUUGAGUGCGCUUGAAGUGGGCGGAAUGUGCCGUGUAGCGGUGAAAUGCUUAGAUAUAGCACAGAACACCAAUUGCGAAGGCAGCUCACUAAGGCGAUACUGACGCUGAGGCACGAAAGCGUGGGGAUCGAACAGGAUUAGAAACCCGGGUAGUCC
Molecule: ribosomal RNA, 445 nt
Filed under: uncultured bacterium
Lineage: Bacteria
Description: bacterial SSU rRNA
Rfam family: Bacterial small subunit ribosomal RNA
Source: RNAcentral